Molecule: long non-coding RNA, 545 nt
Organism: Nyctereutes procyonoides (raccoon dog)
Lineage: Eukaryota; Metazoa; Chordata; Mammalia; Carnivora; Canidae
Exons: 3
Source: RefSeq, a predicted model, not a curated record
CUCUUUCAACACAUCUGCAUAGUCUUCUUGGUCUGAAGGUCAUCCAGCUGCCAUUAAUGUUUUAUUCCUUUGAUGAGCAAAACAGAGCUGAGCCAAACCAUUUUUUAAUCAAGCAUGUUCAAGAGACAACCUGCCCACAUGGUGAUAACAUCAAAAAAAAACAGGAAACUGUCCUUUUUUCAGUGGAUAAUCUUUCCUCCUUUGUCGAAUAUUAGUUGACUGUAGAGUUGAGGGCCCAUUUCUGCCAAACUGUGGAAGAAGCCUCGGUGCCCAUCGAAAGAUGAAUGGAUAAAGAAGAUGUGGUCUAUGUAUACCAUGGAAUAUUACUCAGCCAUUAGAAAUGAUGAAUACCCACCAUUUGCUUCGACGUGGCUGGAACUGGAGGGUAUUAUGCUGAGUGAAGUAAGUCAAUCGGAGAAGGACAAUCAUUGUAUGGUUUCACUCGUACAGGGAAUAUAAAAAAUAGUGGGAGGGAUUAUAGGGGAAAGGAGAGAAAAUGAAUGGGAAAAAUCAGAGAGGGUGACAAAACAUGAGAGACUCCUACC